AUACGUAGGGUGCAAGCGUUAAUCGGAAUUACUGGGCGUAAAGCGUGCGCAGGCGGUUUUUUAAGACAGAGGUGAAAUCCCCCGGCUCAACCUGGGAACUGCCUUUGUGACUGGAAGGCUAGAGUACGGCAGAGGGGGGUGGAAUUCCGUGUGUAGCAGUGGAAUGCGUAGAUAUGCGGAGGAACACCGGUGGCGAAGGCAAUUCUCUGGGCCUGUACUGACGCUCAUGCACGAAAGCGUGGAGAGCAAACAGGAUGAGAUACCCUGGUAGUCCACGCCCUAAACGAUGUCAACUGGUUGUUGGGUCUUCAUUGACUCAGUAACGAAGCUAACGCGUGAAGUUGUCCGCCUGGGGAGUACGGCCGCAAGGUUGAAACUCAAAGGAAUUGACGGGG
RNAcentral lists this ribosomal RNA (395 nucleotides) under uncultured bacterium. RNAcentral describes it as "partial 16S ribosomal RNA". It matches the Rfam family "Bacterial small subunit ribosomal RNA", at positions 523 to 918 of the family's 1533-position model. The record is from RNAcentral.